Long non-coding RNA from Olea europaea var. sylvestris, 956 nucleotides. RefSeq lists it as uncharacterized. The record is from RefSeq and is a predicted model, not a curated record. The transcript has 3 exons. Lineage: Eukaryota; Viridiplantae; Streptophyta; Magnoliopsida; Lamiales; Oleaceae.
CCAAACACUUACGAUAAAAACCCUUUCUCUCAUUCUUCUUCACAGUCGGCAGAAGAAGAAGCGAAAGCCCUACCCCCGCAGCAGAGAAGCCCAUCUCUUGCAAGUCUCAAUUUCACUCCCAAGAAUCCAAACUUCAAAUUUCAAGCUAUAUUAGAUGGAAGAAGAAGAUAUGAAUGGUGGAUGUGUUAUGGUAGCAGUGCACCAAAUCUACGAACACUUGCAAUUCGAGUAUUAAAUCAAACAUGUAGUUCUUUAGGUUACGAGAGAAAUUGGAGUAUGUUUGAACAUAUUCAUUCUAAAAAGAGAAAUAGACUCGAGCAUCAAAGACUUAAUGAUCUUGUUUAUGUUCACUACAAUUUACGAUUGCAACAACGGAAUUAUUUCAAAAGUCAAAAUUAUGAUCCUAUUGACUUUGAAAGGUUUAGCAUUUACGACAAUUGGUUGUUAGAGGAUGAGCCACCGAAUUUGGUAGAUGAUGAAUUGCAGAAAUUUUGUCGUGAUUCAGGUGCAUGCUCUAUACAAAAUAAUAAAAUUGAUGGUAAUUGUUUGACUGAUGCUAUUGUUUCUUCUUCUUCUUCUCUUUUUAAAGUACAUCUACUGUAAUGUUUAAAUUUAAUACUCUUUUCCGAUGAAUUACAUUUUGAUGAUCUUGAUUUGGAUUGUGAUGGAAAUGAUGGCAACGGAAUUGAUAAUAGAAGUGAUACAAACAAUGGAAAUGAGGAUUUUAGUAUGACUGAGACUCCAUCACUGGCACAAGGCGAAGGAAUUGAAGAAUUUAUGUCCAAGACCCCAGCAUGGAGGAGCUCAAACUCCUCUUAAUUGAGAAGAAAUUGAUUUAUUUCAAAUAAUUUACUUUGUUACCACGUUCUUUACUCCACGUUCAACUUAUAAUUGCUAGUCUUACUUUUGCAAUAAUAUUUUUAAAGUAUAUGAAGCUAUGUUGCCGAACUUUUCCA